This 632-nucleotide long non-coding RNA is filed under the name Meleagris gallopavo (turkey). RNAcentral's name for it is "lncRNA (ENSMGAG00000020133.1)". Lineage: Eukaryota; Metazoa; Chordata; Aves; Galliformes; Phasianidae. The record is from RNAcentral.
AGCAUCAUAAAGUGCUCAUGUUAGCUGUGUUCCUGGAGGAGUUAUGCUUUUGGAAGUCAGUUGAAAUUUGAUGGGAGUGGAGAUCUGAGAAGCAGUUGUUGGUAUGGACCAAACAUGUGCACAUGUUGUCAUGUUUUAAUAUAAGAAAUUCUCCUUUCUGUCCAGCAUCCGAAGAGAGCACAUUUCAUAGCGAUUGCUCUGGCAAGUCAAAGUUGCAGCCUUUCUCAUGACAGCUUUCCCUCUACUACAACAAACUCAUCCUCUUUGGAGACAAGGUUGCAUGAAGUUCUGCAGCACACAGUGCUGACACCUUCAAAAUGUAGCAAGACAAGCCAACUCUUGCUACAGUUCCUUUGUCCAUGGAAGUUAAAUAUUGGGUAUAUCUGGAUCUGUUAACAUAAAGCUGAACUUUGGACCUUCAAUUUCUCCAGGAGCUGUGGAGAGGUGUGCAAAUAUGGUAAGGAUGUAUUAAAUCUUAGAUAACACAGACCUGCACAGGUCUGAGUUUGCAGCCACACAACUAGACAACAUAUUCUUGUAGCCAGAAUAACAACCAAAAUUAAAUAUGAAGGUGGCAUCACAUGGCAAUGAGAUCAUUAACAACACUUCUGUUAAGAUCAGAGAUAUGUAUG